AGCAGUUGGAGACAAUUCUCCGUAGAAUAACAGCGUGCUCCAACUCCCAGUUAAAUAUGACCUUAAAUCCAAGGUCCAACCUUUGCUACUGCGUUAAGAGUCAGUAAAAGGAUACCUACAAGAGACAGAGGAGGUUCCUUUCACCUGAACCUAAACCUAAACAGAGAACCACAUACCAUUCUGGAGGAUGUAGGCACAGUCAAGGCUUCUCAACUAGGCCUGUCGCGA
This is a long non-coding RNA of Poeciliopsis prolifica (blackstripe livebearer), 228 nucleotides long. RefSeq lists it as uncharacterized. The record is from RefSeq and is a predicted model, not a curated record. Lineage: Eukaryota; Metazoa; Chordata; Actinopteri; Cyprinodontiformes; Poeciliidae. The transcript is spliced from 3 exons.